GGUUAAGCGACUAAGCGUACACGGUGGAUGCCCUGGCAGUCAGAGGCGAUGAAGGACGUGCUAAUCUGCGAUAAGCGUCGGUGAGGUGAUAUGAACCGUUAUAACCGGCGAUUUCCGAAUGGGGAAACCCAGUGUGUUUCGACACACUAUCAUUAACUGAAUCCAUAGGUUAAUGAGGCGAACCGGGGGAACUGAAACAUCUAAGUACCCCGAGGAAAAGAAAUCAACCGAGAUUCCCCCAGUAGCGGCGAGCGAACGGGGAGGAGCCCAGAGCCUGAAUCAGUGUGUGUGUUAGUGGAAGCGUCUGGAAAGGCGCGCGAUACAGGGUGACAGCCCCGUACACAAAAAUGCACACAUUGUGAGCUCGAUGAGUAGGGCGGGACACGUGGUAUCCUGUCUGAAUAUGGGGGGACCAUCCUCCAAGGCUAAAUACUCCUGACUGACCGAUAGUGAACCAGUACCGUGAGGGAAAGGCGAAAAGAACCCCGGCGAGGGGAGUGAAAAAGAACCUGAAACCGUGUACGUACAAGCAGUGGGAGCCUCUUAAUGGGGUGA
Molecule: ribosomal RNA, 555 nt
Filed under: Escherichia coli WV_060327
Lineage: Bacteria; Pseudomonadati; Pseudomonadota; Gammaproteobacteria; Enterobacterales; Enterobacteriaceae
Description: LSU rRNA
Rfam family: Bacterial large subunit ribosomal RNA
Source: RNAcentral